AGCGAACGCUGGCGGCAGGCCUAACACAUGCAAGUCGAGCGCCGUAGCAAUACGGAGCGGCAGACGGGAGAGUAACACGUGGGAACGUACCCUUUGGUUCGGAACAACCCAGGGAAACUUGGGCUAAUACCGGAUAAGCCCUCACGGGGAAAGAUUCAUCGCCGAAGGAUCGGCCCGCGUCUGAUUAGCUAGUUGGUGGGGUAAUGGCCCACCAAGGCGACGAUCAGUAGCUGGUCUGAGAGGAUGAUCAGCUUCACUGGGACUGAGACACGGCCCAGACUCCUACGGGAGGCAGCAGUGGGGAAUAUUGGACAAUGGGCGCAAGCCUGAUCCAGCCAUGCCGCGUGGGUGAUGAAGGCCCUAGGGUUGUAAAGCCCUUUCGGCGGGGAAGAUAAUGACGGUACCCGCAGAAGAAGCCCCGGCUAACUUCGUGCCAGCCGCCGCGGUAA
This 449-nucleotide ribosomal RNA is filed under the name uncultured bacterium. Its description in RNAcentral is "partial 16S ribosomal RNA". It matches the Rfam family "Bacterial small subunit ribosomal RNA", at positions 29 to 523 of the family's 1533-position model. The record is from RNAcentral.